GUGGGGAAUAUUGGACAAUGGGGGAAACCCUGAUCCAGCAAUGCCGCGUGAGUGAAGAAGGCCUUAGGGUUGUAAAGCUCUUUCGCCCGCGAAGAUAAUGACGGUAGCGGGAGAAGAAGCCCCGGCUAACUCCGUGCCAGCAGCCGCGGUAAUACGGAGGGGGCUAGCGUUGUUCGGAAUUACUGGGCGUAAAGCGUACGUAGGCGGAUGCGCAAGUUGGGGGUGAAAUCCCGGGGCUUAACCUCGGAAUUGCCCUCAAAACUGAACGUCUUGAGACCGAAAGAGGUCAGGGGAAUUCCAAGUGUAGAGGUGAAAUGCGUAGAUAUUAGGAAGAACACCAGUGGCGAAGGCGGCUUACUGGCUCGGUACUGACGCUGAGGUACGAAAGCGUGGG
This 394-nucleotide ribosomal RNA is filed under the name uncultured bacterium. RNAcentral's name for it is "bacterial SSU rRNA". It matches the Rfam family "Bacterial small subunit ribosomal RNA", at positions 354 to 765 of the family's 1533-position model. The record is from RNAcentral.